GUUUGAGGAACAUGACAAAGAGUUCAAGGUGUUGCCUUGGCCUCCAAAUUUCCUAAAUCUCAAUCCAAUUGAGCAUCUGUGGCAUGUGCUGGAACAACCAAUCCGAUCCACGGAGGCCCCACCUCGUAACUUGCACUAAUUAAAUGAUCUGCUGUUAAUGUCUUGGUGCCAGAUACCACAGGGCUGUUUUGGAAAUACGAGGGGGACCUACACGAUUUUAGGCAGGUGGUUUUAUUGUUGUGGCUGAUCAGUGUAUAG
Molecule: non-coding RNA, 258 nt
Organism: Pelobates cultripes (western spadefoot toad)
Lineage: Eukaryota; Metazoa; Chordata; Amphibia; Anura; Pelobatidae
Source: the annotation of a GenBank genome assembly